RNAcentral lists this ribosomal RNA (250 nucleotides) under uncultured bacterium. RNAcentral's name for it is "partial 16S ribosomal RNA". It matches the Rfam family "Bacterial small subunit ribosomal RNA", at positions 524 to 773 of the family's 1533-position model. The record is from RNAcentral.
UACGAAGGGGGCUAGCGUUGUUCGGAAUCACUGGGCGUAAAGCGCACGUAGGCGGACAAUUAAGUCAGGGGUGAAAGCCUGGGGCUCAACCUCAGAAUUGCCCUUGAUACUGGUUGUCUAGAGUCCGGUAGAGGUGAGUGGAACUGCUAGUGUAGAGGUGAAAUUCGUAGAUAUUAGCAAGAACACCAGUGGCGAAGGCGGCUCACUGGACCGGUACUGACGCUGAGGUGCGAAAGCGUGGGGAGCAAAC